GAAACACCGAGAGACGAUUGAGAGAUUCUUAGAAAAAACUAGGUGAUCUUCUUUAUCCAUCUGUUCAUGUGUAAUGUUUAUGAAGUUUUAAUGAAAGAAGAAAGAGGCGAGUUUGCUGGUGAUUUAAAUAAGAAGACAGGAGCAGUUGAAGUUAGAUAAAUGAAUCAGUGCUAUAUACAGUACAGAAAAGUUUAUCCUCACAGGGAAGGAUACUAGCCGUAGAUGUAAUAAAAAUGCAGGGAAAGGGCAAGAAUGCAUUUGGCAGGACAACCAUUAAUAAUUUUGACUCAGGAUAUGUGAUAUGUAAAGGUGCAGGAUGGGUUCUGAUCCGCCACAAUAGCUUAUUCAGAUUGAUGAGGUCUUUAGGAAGAUCUGACGCAGGAAGGUUUUGAUGAGGAAGCAAAAUAGCACUCAAAUGCCUCAUGAUUCACCAUUUACUGUAAAGAGUAUAUGAACAUCUAAUAUUUUGACUUGUUUUUGGGAAUGGGUGGAUCUCUUUUGUAAACUAACUACUUGGUUUUUGAGAAUCUAUAUAAAAUUUU
Molecule: long non-coding RNA, 542 nt
Organism: Papaver somniferum (opium poppy)
Lineage: Eukaryota; Viridiplantae; Streptophyta; Magnoliopsida; Ranunculales; Papaveraceae
Exons: 3
Source: RefSeq, a predicted model, not a curated record